Eleginops maclovinus (Patagonian blennie) is the source of this 2163-nucleotide long non-coding RNA. RefSeq lists it as uncharacterized. The record is from RefSeq and is a predicted model, not a curated record. Lineage: Eukaryota; Metazoa; Chordata; Actinopteri; Perciformes; Eleginopidae. The transcript has 3 exons.
AAACCUCCAUUUAAAUAUGUGACUUUAAUUGCACCUUUUUUCUUGUUCAUUUUCUCCUACAUUUUUCUAUUUUAGGGUCUUAAAUUUACUUCAUCAAUAGUCUUGAAAACGUUAGUGUUUUUACCUCCCAAAGCUCCAUAAUUAAACUUAAAUCUCACUGGACAGCUAACUGAAUUUCCGCUUCUCCUCUGGUUGUGAUCAGUGGAAGGAUAAUGCCGUGGAGGAUCUUACCCUGCCAAUAUGUUUGCGCUCACAGUGAGGCCGAUGCAGAAUGCAACCAAUGAGGUGCUGGUUUUCUUGUUGAUGGCCCCCAUGCAGACCACCAAUGUGAGGAACAACGUCAUUAUCGUCUCGGCCAGAGUGAUUUUAGCCAGAUCAGCGGUCAGGGGCAAGACAAAGGAUCCUCCGGAGGCAGCAUUAUACGUGAUAUCAGGAAAUACGCCCUGAGAGAAGAACAAAUGAGUAUAAAAUAUCCCUGCAUGAUACAGUUAUAUACGAUUUUCAUGUAUUUUCACCUUGUGUUUUUAUUCCUAGGAAUCCAGGAUUAAAGGAUGCUAAGGGUAUCAGUUGUUUUGUGCUUUUUUGAGUCAUAAAGAACCAUCAUUAUAAUUAUAAGACAAAACAGAACAUUGACCUUGAACUGGGCUCCCGUAGUGUUCCUCACCAUGGUAAGAGCCGCCCCGAGCACGCUUCCUAACAUCUGGGCGAGGAUGUAAGGCAGCAGCAGGGCGAGCUUCAUCCCUCCACACAGCAUGAUGAGCACGGCCAGUGCCAGUCCAUGAGCAAUCGCAGGCUGAAUGACUCCGAAGGCUCCAAUGUUCCCCAUAACAGACGCACACCCCACAAACACAAACAGGGUCGUCCCGUACAGCUCGGCCAGGCAGGGCUGCAAAUACUGCUCGAAGAUGCGAGUGCUCUUCCUCAUGGGUUCCUUUCCAGCUGCAGAUUCCACCAUCUCACUUAUGGUGAACUCGACCUUGCUUUCUGUCCCCGACAUACUGAAUCAAAAUAUGGUCUCUACCUGUGCCACUCACUGCCCUCACUCUCCGAUGAAGGGACACUUAUAAGCCAUUCUGAGGAUGAUUCACAAAAGCUGUACGCACAUCCCAAUUAUUUUUCCCCUUCUGAGGCCCCACCUUCCUGCAAUUGUUUAUACUCCCAAGAGCAAUCGGAAGAUCAUAAAAUUGCGUAGGCUAUAUAUGUUUUUGAGAGAUAAGGAUUAGGGGGCACAAAAGCACCCCGUUAAACAUUGAGGGGUACCACAUAUUUGAGUUCCCCAUCAGUAAAAUAAUGGUAAUGCUCGAGGAGUGUGUUGUUUUUUUAUGUAAUAUUCUUUGUGGCCACUUUGAGGGCUACGAAAGCAAGCUAUAAACACUGUAAUCUGUUAUGACCUUAAGGAUGAUAGGACGAGACUGUUAGCAAAGGUGAAAGAGGUGGUGUGAUGUUUGUCCCUGUAAAGAGGUCACAUCUCACCACUAUCAUUUAUUAUACGCUUUCUCUCCCUGCUUUGCAUGGAUGCUCAGAUAUACACAGAUCAUUUGCUACAUGGUUGUAUACAGGUGGUCUUCCUGUCACCCAUGUUGUAUGUAUGUUAUGUCUAAAUGUUUAAAUGACAGUAUUAAAAAACAGUGGUGAAAAUAGCAUUACCUCAGAUAACUGAUUAUCAUAAAUACUGCUAACUAUCCCAUUAGCUGAUGUUCAUCAUUUUCCUUUUGCUUUUACAUUUAAAUGUAUUCUUUUACGUGUUGAUUUUUAUUUAAAAUAUUAUAGUUUUAACUGUAUUUGUAUUAUUUUACGCCAAAAUACUUAUGUAAGGUGAAUAACAGAAGCAAACAUCUUAAAUGACUGUGAGCAAAAGUUCUUAUUAUGCAGAAAGUGUUCAUCUUUUUAACGUCGGUGGCACUAAUGGUAAUUACUGCUGUUUAGCUUAUUAUAAAAGGCUUCAUUUUUCAGUUAACUCAUAUUUUACAUUGGUAAUUACUAGCACAUGUAAAGUAACGUACUAAACACAUCAAAUAAGUGUGUAAAGUCGGGGCAUAAGAUUAGCAUAAAAAGGAAAUGAUCAAGUAAACGACCUACGUUAAACACACCCAGCCAGCGAGCAACAUCAGCGUAAGGGGUGCAGACAGCAUUGUUGACAAUUUACACCGGGAUUUGUUUUUU